Molecule: ribosomal RNA, 503 nt
Filed under: Meyerozyma guilliermondii
Lineage: Eukaryota; Fungi; Ascomycota; Pichiomycetes; Serinales; Debaryomycetaceae
Description: LSU rRNA
Rfam family: Eukaryotic large subunit ribosomal RNA
Source: RNAcentral
UUGAAGAUUGUAACCUUGGGGUUGGCUCUUGUCUAUGUUUCUUGGAACAGGACGUCACAGAGGGUGAGAAUCCCGUGCGAUGAGAUGCCCAAUUCUAUGUAAGGUGCUUUCGAAGAGUCGAGUUGUUUGGGAAUGCAGCUCUAAGUGGGUGGUAAAUUCCAUCUAAAGCUAAAUAUUGGCGAGAGACCGAUAGCGAACAAGUACAGUGAUGGAAAGAUGAAAAGAACUUUGAAAAGAGAGUGAAAAAGUACGUGAAAUUGUUGAAAGGGAAGGGUUUGAGAUCAGACUCGAUAUUUUGUGAGCCUUGCCUUCGUGGCGGGGUGACCCGCAGCUUAUCGGGCCAGCAUCGGUUUGGGCGGUAGGAUAAUGGCGUAGGAAUGUGACUUUACUUCGGUGAAGUGUUAUAGCCUGCGUUGAUGCUGCCUGCCUAGACCGAGGACUGCGAUUUUUAUCAAGGAUGCUGGCAUAAUGAUCCCCAAACCGCCCGUCUUGAAACACGGACC